GGGAAACAGCGCCGGAGCGAGGCACUAAUGAGCUGAAAAAAGGAGAAAGACAAUGGUUGCGCCAAGCAAGCCCGGCCGCCAUCAUGCUCUAGUUUCCCCUCCGCCUCUCCCGGCCCGCGACCGAGGAAGCGGCCUCUGGGAUGCUGAGGGGGUGUGUCCCCGCAUGAUUGGCGCAGGCAGCUCAGCCAAUCCUAGCUCGUCAAACGGGAAGCACUUAACCAAUGAGGGGCGACGGCAGCGGCGAGGAAUUGGAGGGGCGGGACAGCAGUUUGACGGGCACAAAAGCGAGCCAGUGAAAGCCCGAAGCAUCCUCCCUGCGACCAAUGGAGUGGGGCUCUGGGCGGGCCCCUGAGUGUUUGUGUUGUGGUUUGGGGGGAGGGAGGCGGAGGGGAAAGUUUGUUUAUUUUGUUUUUAGUUUCUGGGGUCCCGGUGCUUCUGGAAGGUGAAGCGGGAGGGAGUGACCCCCGCACUCCUCAGUCCCCCUACGACGUCGCCUCCACAGCCUGCGGAGAAGCGGGGACCGCGCGCAUCGCCUCGCCUCACAGCUGAACACCGCGCACUCGGAGCCGGCACGGCUCGUCGGGUUUUGGUUUUUUGCACUGAAUAUAACCUAGAUUCAUCUGCACGGGCUUGUGUUGCCCCAGGAUACUGUCAAAGGCAGUAUUUGUGAGUUUCUGCAGAGUUUUGCACAGUCUGUUCCCAUGCAAACCAAUGAGGGAGAAGUAUCGGAAGAAAGCGGUUCCAAGGUGGAACAGGAGGAUUUUGUAAUGGAAGGGCAUGGCAAGACUCCACCUCCUGGUGAAGAAGGCAAACAGUGAGUCACAGUUUAUUUUAAAAGGAUCAUAUUACAGAUCAUUG
Lemur catta (Ring-tailed lemur) is the source of this 858-nucleotide long non-coding RNA. RefSeq lists it as uncharacterized. The record is from RefSeq and is a predicted model, not a curated record. The transcript has 4 exons. NCBI's taxonomy places the organism in Eukaryota, Metazoa, Chordata, Mammalia, Primates, Lemuridae.